GACGAACGCUGGCGGCGUGCUUAACACAUGCAAGUCGAACGGAAACGCCCUGCUUUUUUGUGAUGCUCGAGUGGCGAACGGGUAAUUAACCCGUAAGUAACCUGCCCUUGACUUUGGGAUAACUUCAGGAAACUGGGGCUAAUACCGGAUAGGAGCUCCUGCUGGAUGGUGGGGGUUGGAAAGUUUCGGCGGUUGGGGAUGGACUCGCGGCUUAUCAGCUUGUUGGUGGGGUAGUGGCUUACCAAGGCUUUUACGGGUAGCCGGCCUGAGAGGGUGACCGGCCACAUUGGGACUGAGAUACGGCCCAGACUCCGACGGGAGGAAGCAGUGCGGAAUAUUGCACAAUGGGCGGAAGCCUGAUGCAGCAACGCCGCGUGUGGGAUGACGGCCUUCGGGUUGUAAACCGCUUUCGCCUGUGACGAAGCGUGAGUGACGGUAAUGGGUAAAGAAGCACCAGCUAACUACGUG
Molecule: ribosomal RNA, 468 nt
Filed under: uncultured bacterium
Lineage: Bacteria
Description: partial 16S ribosomal RNA
Rfam family: Bacterial small subunit ribosomal RNA
Source: RNAcentral